RNAcentral lists this transfer RNA (73 nucleotides) under Hordeum vulgare. Its description in RNAcentral is "tRNA-OTHER". Lineage: Eukaryota; Viridiplantae; Streptophyta; Magnoliopsida; Poales; Poaceae. The record is from RNAcentral.
CCCUUCGUAGUGCAACUGGUUAGCACGUUGGUGUCGAACCAAGAGAUCCUAGGUUCGAGUCCCUGCUGAUCCG